RNAcentral lists this ribosomal RNA (443 nucleotides) under uncultured bacterium. Its description in RNAcentral is "bacterial SSU rRNA". It matches the Rfam family "Bacterial small subunit ribosomal RNA", at positions 338 to 795 of the family's 1533-position model. The record is from RNAcentral.
CCUACGGGGGGCAGCAGUGGGGAAUAUUGCACAAUGGGGGAAACCCUGAUGCAGCGACGCCGCGUGAAGGAAGAAGGUCUUCGGAUCGUAAACUUCUAUCAGCAGGGAAGAAGGAAGUGACGGUACCUGACUAAGAAGCCCCGGCUAACUACGUGCCAGCAGCCGCGGUAAUACGUAGGGGGCAAGCGUUAUCCGGAAGCACUGGGUGUAAAGGGUGCGUAGGCGGGAGGGCAAGUCAGAUGUGAAAGCCCGGAGCUAGACUCCGGGAUUGCAUUUGAAACUGUCUUACUAGAGUGCAGGAGAGGAAAGCGGAAUUCCUAGUGUAGCGGUGAAAUGCGUAGAUAUUAGGAAGAACACCAGUGGCGAAGGCGGCUUUCUGGACUGUAACUGACGCUGAGGUACGAAAGCUGGGGGAGCGAACGGGAUUAGAUACCCCAGUAGUC